RNAcentral lists this ribosomal RNA (581 nucleotides) under uncultured bacterium. RNAcentral describes it as "bacterial SSU rRNA". It matches the Rfam family "Bacterial small subunit ribosomal RNA", at positions 338 to 915 of the family's 1533-position model. The record is from RNAcentral.
CCUACGGGAGGCAGCAGUGGGGAAUUUUGGACAAUGGGGGAAACCCUGAUCCAGCAAUGCCGCGUGUGUGAAGAAGGCCUUCGGGUUGUAAAGCACUUUUAUUCGGAGAGAAAUCCCUUGGGCUAAUACCCUGAGGGUCUGACGGUACCGGAUGAAUAAGCGCCGGCUAACUACGUGCCAGCAGCCGCGGUAAUACGUAGGGCGCGAGCGUUAAUCGGAAUUACUGGGCGUAAAGCGUGCGCAGGCGGUUUUGUAAGACAGAUGUGAAAGCCCCGGGCUCAACCUGGGAAUUGCAUUUGUGACUGCAAGGCUAGAGUGUGUCAGAGGGAGGUGGAAUUCCGCGUGUAGCAGUGAAAUGCGUAGAGAUGCGGAGGAACACCGAUGGCGAAGGCAGCCUCCUGGGAUAACACUGACGCUCAUGCACGAAAGCGUAGGGGANCAAACAGGAUUAGAUACCCUGGUAGUCCACGCCCUAAACGAUGUCAACUAGUUGUCGGGAAUUAAUUCUUGGUAACGCAGCUAACGCGUGAAGUUGACCGCCUGGGGAUACGGCCGCAAGGUUAAAACNCGAAAGAUUGACG